RNAcentral lists this long non-coding RNA (737 nucleotides) under Heterocephalus glaber (naked mole-rat). RNAcentral's name for it is "lncRNA (ENSHGLG00100048129.1)". Lineage: Eukaryota; Metazoa; Chordata; Mammalia; Rodentia; Bathyergidae. The record is from RNAcentral.
CACCCUCGUGCAGCCUCAGGUCGCGUGCUGACGGGUCUUCUGUGACGCACUCCCACACCUGCCUCCCUGGACACCCACACAGCCGCCACCCCACCCAGGCCACCGUCAUCUGCCACUGUAACCGGCGCCGGCAGCCUCGUACUGUGCUCGCCAGGAGAGGCUGCUCCCCAGCACGUGCCCAGGACAGCCCCUCCCUGGCUGGUCCCGAGGUCCCCAAGGCCCCCACUCCGGGCUGCCCGCCCUGCGCCCACACCUGGGUGCACACGCACGCGCACGCACACACGUGCACGCCCGCAUCGCCGGUGCUGGGCGUCUCACCCGGUCUUCACUCGCACCUCAGUAGCGCCUGGGUACUCACCUUUCUCUCCAGUAGAACCCCGCUUCCAGCUGACUCCCAGUAGAGCUGAAGCUGGAGCCGUGGGCGCUGCCAGGCCUGGGCAGGCUGCAGGGAGGCGUGCAGUGGAGACACUGGAUGUGUGCAGGCCAAGACACACAGAGCCACCAAGUAGAUUGUCCGACAUGUGCAGGAAGCUGCAGACCACCAUAGAGGAAAACAUGGGACCCGAGAACGAGACAAGCCUGGCACGGUGGCCCAUGCCUGUGAUCCCAGCACUUGGGAGGCUGAGGCAGGAGGAUCACCACGAGUUCAAGGCCAGCCUGGGCUACACAGUGAGGUCAAGGCCAGCCUGGACUACAAAGUGAGACCUUGUCUCAAAAAACUAUAAAACAGGGCCGGG